AUGCACGAUAUCUUACGUGAAUUGGCAGUUGAUUUGUGCAAGAAGAACUGUUUUGGUGUUACAUAUGAGAAUAAAUGUGAAGGGCCUCAUCAGAAGGAUGGACGUCGAUUGGUACUGCACAAACUAAAAGAUCAUAUUCAACAACCAUUUUCCAAUAUACACCAACUUCGAACUAUCAUUACACUGGGUGAUAGCAAGUCAUCAUUCACUCUACUAGCUCUUUUGUGUAAUGAGUCAAGAUAUAUGACAGUGCUAGAAUUAAGUGGUUUACCCAUCGAGAAGAUUCCAGAUGCUAUUGGAGGUCUUUUUAAUCUCCGCCAUUUGGGUUUGCGUGGUUCGAAGGUGAAGAUGCUCCCGAAGUCUAUUGAGAAGCUUUCAAAUUUGUUGACCUUGGACCUUGGUGGUUCUGACAUACAUGACUUGCCUAGUGGGAUUGUGAAACUGAAGAAGCUCAGGCACUUAUUUGCUGAGAGAGUAACUAAUCCACAAGGGAAAGAAUUUAAAUGUCGCAGUGGUAUGCGCAUCCCCAGUGGUCUUGGAAAUCUGACAAGCCUGCAGACGUUACAAGCAUUAGAAGCACAAGAUGAGUCUAUUAAACAUUUAGGGGAGCUGAGGCAACUAAGAAGCUUGAGGUUAUUGAAUGUGAAGGGAAUCUACUGUGGACGGAUCAAUGAGUCACUAGUUGAGAUGCAGUAUUUGUCAUACCUACAUGUGAGUGCAAGUGAUGAGAACGAGGUUCUCCUGUUGAAUGUCUCCUUGCCAAACCUAAAAAAGUUAAGUUUGAGAGGCCGACUAGCGGAAGGGGCAUUGGACGAGUCCCCUCUCUUCCAAGCUGUUGGGGGGCAUAACUUGCAUAUGUUGUCUCUCCGUUGGUCACAACUGAGUAAAGACCCCCUGCCACCGCUUUCUCGGUUGUCAAACUUGACGGAUCUUCAAUUCAGCAGAGCAUACAAUGGAGAGCAGCUGACGUUUCUUACAGGGUGGUUUCCCAAGCUAAAGGUUCUCGAACUAAGAGACUUGCCUAAUCUGAAUCGGCUAGAUAUACAGCAAGGUGCCAUGGUGAGCCUGAAGCAAUUAACCUUAGUCAACCUCAGAAGCAUGACGGAGGUCCCAGCUGGCAUCGAGUUCCUCUUGCCCCUCCAAUAUCUAAGCUUCCUGGAAAUCACCAAUGACUUCUUGACGGUGCUGUACCAAUCUUCUGUACUUGAAGGGCAGCGGUCGCACUAUUCUCUCCGAGACUGA
Molecule: ribosomal RNA, 1242 nt
Filed under: Triticum aestivum (bread wheat)
Lineage: Eukaryota; Viridiplantae; Streptophyta; Magnoliopsida; Poales; Poaceae
Description: partial small subunit ribosomal RNA
Source: RNAcentral